UUAAUUGAAGCCAAAAAGAGGCCUAUCACUGUUAAUGAUAAAAUUGAAAUUAAUUUCCAAUUAAA
This 65-nucleotide transfer RNA is filed under the name Rutilia goerlingiana. Its description in RNAcentral is "tRNA-Asn". The record is from RNAcentral. Lineage: Eukaryota; Metazoa; Arthropoda; Insecta; Diptera; Tachinidae.